RNAcentral lists this ribosomal RNA (578 nucleotides) under uncultured bacterium. Its description in RNAcentral is "bacterial SSU rRNA". It matches the Rfam family "Bacterial small subunit ribosomal RNA", at positions 347 to 916 of the family's 1533-position model. The record is from RNAcentral.
GGCAGCAGUGGGGAAUUUUCCGCAAUGGGGGAAACCCUGACGGAGCAACGCCGCGUGGAGGAUGAAGGCCCUCGGGUCGUAAACUCCUGUCGAUCGGGAAGAAUGCGUCCGGCCUAAUACGUCGGCACGUUGACUGUACCGGUGGAGGAAGCCACGGCUAACUCUGUGCCAGCAGCCGCGGUAAGACAGAGGUGGCAAGCGUUGUUCGGAAUUACUGGGCGUAAAGGGCGCGCAGGCGGUCUGCCAAGUCUCGUGUGAAAUCCCCCGGCUCAACUGGGGAACUGCGCGGGAUACUAGUGGACUUGAGUUCGGGAGAGGAAAGCGGAAUUCCGGGUGUAGCGGUGAAAUGCGCAGAUAUCCGGAGGAACACCAGUGGCGAAGGCGGCUUUCUGGACCGACACUGACGCUGAGGCGCGAAAGCUAGGGGAGCGAACGGGAUUAGAUGCCCCGGUAGUCCUAGCCCUAAACGAUGAGCACUGGGUGUAGGGGGUAUGAACCCCCCCUGUGCCGAAGCUAACGCAUUAAGUGCUCCGCCUGGGGAGUACGGUCGCAAGGCUGAAACUCAAAUGAAUUGACGG